ACGCUGGCGGCAGGCCUAACACAUGCAAGUCGAGCGGUAGCACAGGAGAGCUUGCUCUCUGGGUGACGAGCGGCGGACGGGUGAGUAAUGUCUGGGAAACUGCCUGAUGGAGGGGGAUAACUACUGGAAAACGGUAGCUAAUACCGCAUGACGUCGCAAGACCAAAGUGGGGGACCUUCGGGCCUCACGCCAUCGGAUGUGCCCAGAUGGGAUUAGCUAGUAGGUGAGGUAAUGGCUCACCUAGGCGACGAUCCCUAGCUGGUCUGAGAGGAUGACCAGCCACACUGGAACUGAGACACACGGUCCAGACUCCUACGGGAGGCAGCAGUGGGGAAUAUUGCACAAUGGGCGCAAGCCUGAUGCAGCCAUGCCGCGUGUGUGAAGAAGGCCUUAGGGUUGUAAAGCACUUUCAGCGAGGAGGAAGGCGUUGUGGUUAAUAGCUGCAACGAUUGACGUUACUCGCAGAAGAAGCACCGGCUAACUCCGUGCCAGCAGCCGCGGUAAUACGGAGGGUGCAAGCGUUAAUCGGAAUUACUGGGCGUAAAGCGCACGCAGGCGGUUUGUUAAGUCAGACGUGAAAUCCCGAGCUUAACUUGGGAACUGCAUUUGAAACUGGCAAGCUAGAGUCUUGUAGAGGGGGGUAGAAUUCCAGGUGUAGCGGUGAAAUGCGUAGAGAUCUGGAGGAAUACCGGUGGCGAAGGCGGCCCCCUGGACAAAGACUGACGCUCAGGUGCGAAAGCGUGGGGAGCAAACAGG
RNAcentral lists this ribosomal RNA (756 nucleotides) under uncultured bacterium. RNAcentral describes it as "bacterial SSU rRNA". It matches the Rfam family "Bacterial small subunit ribosomal RNA", at positions 33 to 776 of the family's 1533-position model. The record is from RNAcentral.